Molecule: ribosomal RNA, 253 nt
Filed under: uncultured bacterium
Lineage: Bacteria
Description: partial 16S ribosomal RNA
Rfam family: Bacterial small subunit ribosomal RNA
Source: RNAcentral
UACAGAGGUCCCAAGCGUUGUUCGGAUUCACUGGGCGUAAAGGGUGCGUAGGUGGUGGGGUAAGUCGGAUGUGAAAUCUCCGAGCUCAACUCGGAAAUGGCAUUGGAAACUGCCCUGCUAGAGGGUCGGAGGGGGGACUGGAAUGCUUGGUGUAGCAGUGAAAUGCGUAGAUAUCAAGCGGAACACCAGUGGCGAAGGCGAGUCCCUGGACGACUCCUGACACUGAGGCACGAAAGCUAGGGGAGCAAACAGG